AGCUAACGCGUUAAGUAGACCGCCUGGGGAGUACGGUCGCAAGAUUAAAACUCAAAUGAAUUGACGGGGGCCCGCACAAGCGGUGGAGCAUGUGGUUUAAUUCGAUGCAACGCGAAGAACCUUACCUACUCUUGACAUCCAGAGAAGCCAGCGGAGACGCAGGUGUGCCUUCGGGAGCUCUGAGACAGGUGCUGCAUGGCUGUCGUCAGCUCGUGUCGUGAGAUGUUGGGUUAAGU
This 236-nucleotide ribosomal RNA is filed under the name Vibrio sp. s8s3. Its description in RNAcentral is "partial 16S ribosomal RNA". It matches the Rfam family "Bacterial small subunit ribosomal RNA", at positions 850 to 1085 of the family's 1533-position model. Lineage: Bacteria; Pseudomonadati; Pseudomonadota; Gammaproteobacteria; Vibrionales; Vibrionaceae. The record is from RNAcentral.